GCGGGAGUGGUGGAAUUGGUAGACACGCUAGACUUAGGAUCUGGUGCCGCAAGGUGUGAGAGUUCGAGUCUCUUCUCCCGUA
RNAcentral lists this transfer RNA (82 nucleotides) under Tenacibaculum finnmarkense genomovar finnmarkense. Its description in RNAcentral is "tRNA-Leu". It matches the Rfam family "tRNA". From Rfam's summary of the family: Transfer RNA (tRNA) molecules are approximately 80 nucleotides in length. Their secondary structure includes four short double-helical elements and three loops (D, anti-codon, and T loops). Further hydrogen bonds mediate the characteristic L-shaped molecular structure. tRNAs have two regions of fundamental functional importance: the anti-codon, which is responsible for specific mRNA codon recognition, and the 3' end, to which the tRNAs corresponding amino acid is attached (by aminoacyl-tRNA synthetases). tRNAs cope with the degeneracy of the genetic code in two manners: having more than one tRNA (with a specific anti-codon) for a particular amino acid; and 'wobble' base-pairing, i.e. permitting non-standard base-pairing at the 3rd anti-codon position. Lineage: Bacteria; Pseudomonadati; Bacteroidota; Flavobacteriia; Flavobacteriales; Flavobacteriaceae. RNAcentral also lists the same sequence under 2 other names. The record is from RNAcentral.